UCCGACGGUGAAGGGGUGAAUGCUGGGGGCGCAAACCGGAUUAGAUACCCGGGUAGUCCCAGCAGUAAACGAUCCAGCUAUGUUUGCUGGAACAUGGUCAGCAGUGCCAAGGAAGCCGUGAAGCUGGCCACCUGGGAAGUACGGUCGCAAGGCUGAAACUUAAAGGAAUUGGCGGGGGAGUGCGCACAACCGGUGGAGCCUGCGGUUUAAUUGGAUACAACGCCGGGAAUCUUACCGGAGGGGACAGCAGUAUGAAGGCCAGGCUAAAGACCUUGCCAGAUCAGCUGAGAGGAGGUGCAUGGCCGUCGCCAGUUCGUACCGUGAGGCAUCCUGUUUAGUCAGGCAACGAUCGAGACCCGCAGUCUUAUUUGCCAGCAUGCCCUUUGGGGUGUAUGGGUACAAUAAGACGACCGCCAGCGCUAAGCUGGAGGAAGGAGCGGGCUACGGUAGGUCAGCAUGCCCCGAAUCCUCCGGGAUACACGCGGGCUACAAUGGUCA
RNAcentral lists this ribosomal RNA (498 nucleotides) under uncultured archaeon. Its description in RNAcentral is "bacterial SSU rRNA". It matches the Rfam family "Archaeal small subunit ribosomal RNA", at positions 690 to 1192 of the family's 1478-position model. The record is from RNAcentral.